This 548-nucleotide ribosomal RNA is filed under the name Stips stali. Its description in RNAcentral is "partial 16S ribosomal RNA". Lineage: Eukaryota; Metazoa; Arthropoda; Insecta; Coleoptera; Tenebrionidae. The record is from RNAcentral.
CCCUCUUUAUCAAAAACAUCUCCUUUUCUUCAUCAUUUAACCUCUCACCUCCCCAAUCAUGAUUUUAAUCCCCCCACUAUUUUCACUCUCCAAACCUAGCAUAAUCAUUACUUUUUUAAAUCCAACCUCCAAUCAAUCCUUUCAUCACAAAAUAACUCUCUCACCUUAAUUCAAAUACAAUUUUAAUUUUAACUUAAAAACCUUAAAUCUUUUACAAACACCACAACACCCUAUACACUUUAAUAUAAUUUUAUUUAUUUCUUUUUACCCUUCUUUAUUCAUUUAUAUAAAAUUAUAUUUUCUUCCCCUCAUCUAAAAAUUCAUUUAACUUUUUAUUUCUUUAAACACUAAUUACUCAUUCAUUCAUCCUUUAUUUACAUUACAACAAUAAAUUACCUUACCCAUAACACCCUAAUUUUUUUACACACUUCAUAUCCAUAAAAAACCUUCCCACCUCCAUCUUCCAUUAAAACUUAAUUUUCCUCCACAACCUCAAAGUUUCCCUCUCUUCCACCUUUAAAAUUUUACCUCAUCUCACUUCACACCCG